UAGCAAGACGGAUAGAGUAUGUGACUGG
RNAcentral lists this non-coding RNA (28 nucleotides) under Mus musculus (house mouse). The record is from RNAcentral. Lineage: Eukaryota; Metazoa; Chordata; Mammalia; Rodentia; Muridae.